Molecule: unclassified non-coding RNA, 334 nt
Filed under: soil metagenome
Description: partial contains 5.8S ribosomal RNA, internal transcribed spacer 2, and large subunit ribosomal RNA
Rfam family: 5.8S ribosomal RNA (bases 1-120)
Source: RNAcentral
GAUGAAGAACGUAGCGAAAUGCGAUACGUAAUGUGAAUUGCAGAAUUCAGUGAAUCAUCGAAUCUUUGAACGCACAUUGCGCCCGCCAGCACUCUGGCGGGCAUGCCUGUUCGAGCGUCAUUUCAACCAUCAAGCCCCAGGCUUGUGUUGGAGCCCUGCGGCUGCCGCAGCCUCCCAAAACCAGUGGCGGGCUCGCUAUCACACCGAGUGCAGUAGUUUACUCUUCGCUCAGGGCGUGUGGCGGGUGCUAGCCGUGAAACCCCCAACUUCUCAAGGUUGACCUCGGAUCAGGUAGGAAUACCCGCUGAACUUAAGCAUAUCAAUAAGCGGAGGA